RNAcentral lists this transfer RNA (101 nucleotides) under Acidilobus saccharovorans 345-15. It matches the Rfam family "tRNA". Rfam says of the family: Transfer RNA (tRNA) molecules are approximately 80 nucleotides in length. Their secondary structure includes four short double-helical elements and three loops (D, anti-codon, and T loops). Further hydrogen bonds mediate the characteristic L-shaped molecular structure. tRNAs have two regions of fundamental functional importance: the anti-codon, which is responsible for specific mRNA codon recognition, and the 3' end, to which the tRNAs corresponding amino acid is attached (by aminoacyl-tRNA synthetases). tRNAs cope with the degeneracy of the genetic code in two manners: having more than one tRNA (with a specific anti-codon) for a particular amino acid; and 'wobble' base-pairing, i.e. permitting non-standard base-pairing at the 3rd anti-codon position. The record is from Rfam by way of RNAcentral. Lineage: Archaea; Thermoproteati; Thermoproteota; Thermoprotei; Acidilobales; Acidilobaceae.
GGGCCCGUAGCUCAGCCAGGAUAGAGCGGCGGGCUUUUAACCCGUAGGCCGCGACGCCUAGCCGCGGGCGGAAGUCCCGGGUUCGAAUCCCGGCGGGCCCG